RNAcentral lists this ribosomal RNA (404 nucleotides) under uncultured bacterium. Its description in RNAcentral is "partial 16S ribosomal RNA". It matches the Rfam family "Bacterial small subunit ribosomal RNA", at positions 30 to 526 of the family's 1533-position model. The record is from RNAcentral.
AUUGAACGCUGGCGGCAGGCCUAACACAUGCAAGUCGAGCGAGCGGCGGACGGGUGAGUAAUGCCUGGGGAUUGCCCAGUCGAGGGGGAUAACAGUUGGAAACGAAUGCUAAUACCGCAUACGAUUGGAAUGACCAGGUUGGAUUAGCUAUGUGGUGAGGGAAUGGCUCACCAAGGCGACGAUCCCUAGCUGGUCUGAGAGGAUGAUCAGCCACACUGGAACUGAGCAACGGUCCAGACUCCGACGGGAGGCAGCAGUGGGGAAUAUUGCACAAUGGGGGAAACCCUGAGGCAGCCAUGCCGCGUGUGUGAAGAAGGCCUUCGGGUUGUAAAGCACUUUCAGCGAGGAGGCGUUACUCGCAGAAGAAGCACCGGCUAACUCCGUGCCAGCAGCCGCGGUAAUUC